GGACUGUUUCAGAGUUAAUCAGGGAAUGGAAGACUGUUUCAUUCUCUUUAAGUGUUAAGAAUCUGAAAGUGUUAAAACUCUGAAAGAUUUGAGUUUAAAAGGAUUUGAAGGAGGAGGAGAGUUGAGUGAAAACAGUCAAAAUUACCCUACCAAGAUAAAUAGUUGAAAAUUACUCUAAUAACUUCAAGUUUUAUGCUACUACUAACAAGCUUUAUCCUUGAAGAAAACCAUUACCUCAUUCAGUGAACAGUGAAUGCCUGUGGGCAACAGACCUUUGUACUCAAUAGGACAGAAAGGGAGAUCCUUUAACAUGGUAAGGACAGCUAUAUAGAAUACUAAUAGAAGACUAGUAAUAACUAGUCUUUUUCCCCUUCAAGAUCAGAAUUAUAGAAUCUGCCUUAAUUCUCUGAAUGAAUCUCAUUCAGUGAUUUUAAAAAGUAUAUUUUUGCCCAGCUAUUGCCAUUGUGCUAAAAUCUUGAAAAAAUUAUCACCUCUGCUUAGUUAACAAAUCUCCAGUGAAGAAUAAGUAACAUUAUUUCCUCUGGGGGCGGGGGACUACUAAAUUAUCUCUUGCAGUAUCUCCAUUUUCAUUUUGGAUAACUGUUCAAAGAC
Molecule: long non-coding RNA, 612 nt
Filed under: Marmota monax (woodchuck)
Lineage: Eukaryota; Metazoa; Chordata; Mammalia; Rodentia; Sciuridae
Source: RNAcentral